GGGGCUGGGGCUCAGUGGCAGAGCACUUGCCUGGUACUCAUGAGGCACUGGGUUCGAUCCCCAGCACCCCCA
This is a non-coding RNA of Ictidomys tridecemlineatus (thirteen-lined ground squirrel), 72 nucleotides long. NCBI's taxonomy places the organism in Eukaryota, Metazoa, Chordata, Mammalia, Rodentia, Sciuridae. The record is from Rfam.